RNAcentral lists this ribosomal RNA (252 nucleotides) under uncultured bacterium. Its description in RNAcentral is "partial 16S ribosomal RNA". It matches the Rfam family "Bacterial small subunit ribosomal RNA", at positions 524 to 776 of the family's 1533-position model. The record is from RNAcentral.
UACGUAGGGUGCAAGCGUUGUCCGGAAUUAUUGGGCGUAAAGGGCUCGUAGGCGGUCCGUCGCGUCGGGAGUGAAACUCGGGGCUCAACCCCGAGCCUGCUUUCGAUACGGGCGGACUAGAGGUAGGUAGGGGAGAACGGAAUUCCUGGUGUAGCGGUGGAAUGCGCAGAUAUCAGGAGGAACACCGGUGGCGAAGGCGGUUCUCUGGGCCUUACCUGACGCUGAGGAGCGAAAGCCAGGGGAGCGAACGGG